AGAAGAAGAAGAAGAAGAAGAACAACAGCCCCCAGGUCAACAUUAAUAAUAUGAUGAUGAUAUUAUUAUUAUUGACAGAUUCAUAUAUCAGAUCACGGUGAUUGCCUGGUGAUGAGUGACAGGUGUUUGCUUGUGAGAAGACGUGCUACACGAGUAGGCAACCGAGACGAGAGAGUUUUUUAAAUGAAUCUGAAGUCACGUUUGUAUAGACAAGAGGUAAAUUCAUUUGUUUCUUCUUCUAAGCUGUUCUAGACUUAGGUGCUACUUUUAGGGCUAAAAUGCUUCGUGAAUUACUCUUAGUAAAACACAUUAGGAGUCUAAAGUUGAUACUUGUAGCCUCUUAUAAGAUUCUUUGUGAAUGCGGACCCAGGUAAAAAUGUUUGAUAUGCUCGUUUGAACGGUAUGAGAACAGUAUUUUAAUGUUAUUCUCUGGUUGUAAGUGGCUUUGGAUAAAAGUGUCUGCUAAAUGAAUAACUGUUAAUGUAAACAGGCCUAUAUAAAAGAAAACAUAACAUAUUAGGCUACAGGGGGUCAGGAGACCUAGAGAGUUGAAAUAAAAGCUAUUUUUGUGAAACUAUUAGAAUUGAAAUUAUGAUAUGAUUAGCAGAGGCAACAACUUUUUUUAUGUAUUUUUUAUUUUUAUUUACUACUGCGCACUCUGGGAGGUAUUGCAUAAAAGUAGAAUUAAGAAAGCCAGGAUAACAGAACAGUCGCGGCUUGACCUAGUUUAAUCAGUGCAUCCUGGCUUAAUCCGUUGCACGUUUGCUGAGCCAGGAUGAGAACGCGCGGAUGUGUCAAGCCAGGUGUAUAUAGUUUGGAUAAAUGCACGUUCACGGCAUUCUUAAAAAGAUCACGAAAUCACCGAUGCAAAAAUGGACAAAACCCGUGCGGCAUACUUUUCGCCUAAUGAGCAACAGCUUCUUAUGGAAACGUAUGAAGAAGUGAAACAUAUAAUAUGUAAAAAAGGCAAUACAGCUGCUGUAAUAAAACAAAGAGAGAAUGCCUGGCAAACAAUAGCGGACCGAUUGAAUGCGUAAGUAGUCCAAAUAACCAGUGCUCCACUGAAACCCUCAUAAUUACAAUACUUGUCAUUACUUGUCAUUUUCAAAAAUAAUUGUAUACUUCGCCUUAAAUGUGACCAGUGGACAUGCAUUUAACAUGAAGAAUAAUUGCAAACACUUCUAUUUGAUCUAUUUAGUUUCUUUUAUGUCUAUAAUCUGUUUAAUCUUUUUACUCUUAUCUAUUUGUAUGUAGGUUUUGUUUCUAAUUGAUUUGAUGUAAUCUAUAAUCAGAUAAUUUGCUCUAUUUUAUCCAUCUAAUCUAUUUUCUCAUUUGUAUCUAUCUAUUCCUCUUAAAGAACAAACAUGUCUGGCCAAAAAAAGGACUUGGCAGCAAGUCAAGAUUAAAUACAAGAAUAUUUUGCAGGCUGGUAAGUGACUUGUUUUAUGGAGAACAGGUGACAUGUUUGCUGACAUUUUUUUGUCUGUGCUGAUUUUAGCAAUAAAAAAAAAGUCAUAUAUCUGGUAAUGGGGUGGCCCUCCAACCCAAGACUUCACCACAGCAGAGGAGCUGGCCCUGGACUUAAAUAAAGGGAAGCCAGUGAUUGAAGGGAUCCAGGGAGGGACAGCCACUGACUCUGGCCCAGCAAGGGAUACUGGCCUCUUCAUACAAGUGGCUGGCAACACCCUUACACUUUUGGAGCCACCAGACUAUGAUUCGCCGAGGGAAGCCACAUCUACAGCAGUGGAGUGCACUUCUGCCGAUGAUGAGACCGUGUCGCUGGACUCCAGAAGGCUCGAGGAUCCUGACACUGGGCAGCCUGAUAAGCAGCCUGGUAACAUAAUAUCUCUACACAACGCAUCUUAAGAGACAGAUCGAGCUGUCAGAAGUCAAGAUUGAUGUGAACAAAAGAAAGCUGCAGGACAUGGACCUUGAGAUGCAAAUUAAACACAAGACACUGAGGAAACUAGAACUGGAAAUCCAGAAACUAGAAAGAGAAGUGACUUCAGUUCAUACUGUAACCAUGACUGUAACACAAUGUAUUAAUCAUCAUAAUUUUUCUCUCCAAAGCUCCAAGCUGACAAGUAAUAACAGCAAAAUAAUAAAAGAAAA
Xyrauchen texanus (razorback sucker) is the source of this 2112-nucleotide long non-coding RNA. RefSeq lists it as uncharacterized. The transcript is spliced from 5 exons. Lineage: Eukaryota; Metazoa; Chordata; Actinopteri; Cypriniformes; Catostomidae. The record is from RefSeq and is a predicted model, not a curated record.